Molecule: small nuclear RNA, 103 nt
Filed under: Tursiops truncatus (common bottlenose dolphin)
Lineage: Eukaryota; Metazoa; Chordata; Mammalia; Artiodactyla; Delphinidae
Source: RNAcentral
UUGCUUUAGCAGCCCAUGUACUAAAACCGGAACGAUACAGAGAAGAUUAGCAUGGCCCCUGUGCGUGGAUGACGCGCAAAUUCAUGAAGCGUUCCAUUAAAAA